GAUGACGUCACGGUGGUUGCGAUAAAGAGUAAGGGAGAGAUGGUGACAAAAAAAAUAUAGAGAAAAAAAAUAAGAAUAAUAAAAAAUAAAAAAUAAAAAAAAUUUCUACAAAAAAGAUCAAAAAAUAUAGAAGAAGAAAGAAUAUGAUAGAAUUGUACUGUUAAAAUAAGAUUACACUAUUUUUAAAAAAAAUUACACUGUUUUAAUAAAAAUUGCACUAUUUGAUAUACAAAUUAUACUCUUUUAGAAUGAAUUUUACACUCGUUAGGGCAAAGUUGCACUCUUUAGAAAAAUUUUACAUCAUUUUUUUUCUUUUUUUUUUUUUCUCUUUCUCUUCUUCUUCUUCCUCCUCCUCCACAUCUCCUCAUCUUUCUCCUCUGUCACCACUGACACCGCCUCACUCCACUACGUCCUUCAACUUCGAGAACUCCACUAGUUUUGCGCUUUUGUAAAAGUAGGCCACUUUUUUUCAAAAAAUAUAGAAGAAGAAAGAAUAUGAUAAAAUUACACUAUUAAAAUAAGAUUACACUGUUUUUAAAAAAAUUUAUACUGUUUUAAUAAAAAUUGCACUAUUUGAUAUACAAAUUACUCUCUUUUAGAAUAAAUUUUACACUCCUUAGACCAAAGUUGCACUCUUUAGAAAAAUUUUGUAUCAUUUUUUUCCUUUUCUUUUUCUCUUUCUCUUCUUCUUCUUCCUCCUCCUCCUCCGCAUCUCCUUCUCUUUCUCCUCUGUCACCACCGACACCGCCUCACUCCACUACGUCCUUCAACUUCGAGAUCUCCACUAGUUUUACGCUUUUGCAAGAGUGGGCCACUUUUUCGAUUUUGCAGAUUCGGACCGAAUUUUUAGCAAACUGAUCAAAAUAUCCUUAUUAUUUUUUCUCUCUCCUCUUUUUUUUCUCUCGUUCUUUUUUUCUCUCUCAUCUUUUCGACAAUUAACUUAUUUAUGAGAGCGGAAAGAGCAAGACUAGUUGUACACCUUUAAAGGGUAAAAAAUAUAUACCCCACCCCACUAGUCAUAUUGAUAUGACUAGUAAAAUACAUCACAUUCUUGGAUAGAUGAGGUGUACAUCCUACACUCCUUUUUAGGUGUACAAUUAGAAUUUCUCAUACGGAAAGGCCAUUUCAACUCAUAAUGGCUAAGUUUCCCAUAUUAUUUUUUAGGAAUAAUUGCCUAUAUUCCUCUCAAAAUUUUUGAAAAUCUUAUUUAUCUCUCUCUUUAAUAUACUCGUAUAUUUCUUUAUUAUUUAAAAAUAUCUUUUUUGUUAGUGCAUACUAAGUCAUCUCGAAUUAAACCUGUAUUAAGUUUCUACAAUAGUUAAAAAAUAGUAAAAUAUACCUAUUUUUUCCCUAACUUAAGGCAAAUAAGAAAAGAGACAAAUAAGAAAGUUAGUAAUGGUAGAACUGUAUAUUUGAAAGGGUAAAAUAAUAAUUUAACAGAAAUAAUAGUAGUUGCUAACAGUUUACUAAUAGAAUUUAACUUUAGAAAUAUAUUUGAAAAAACUUAAAAUCUUAAAAGGAUAUUUUUAAUAUUAGUCUUUUAAGAGAGAUAAAUAAGAAAGUCGAGAACUUUUCAGAGAUAUAUAAGUAAUUGUCCAUAUUUUUUCUACAAUUUAAAAUAAAAAGCUAUAAUUCUUAUUUUUUAACAUUUAUUU
Molecule: long non-coding RNA, 1655 nt
Filed under: Ananas comosus (pineapple)
Lineage: Eukaryota; Viridiplantae; Streptophyta; Magnoliopsida; Poales; Bromeliaceae
Description: long non-coding RNA (ACOM_LNC004589)
Source: RNAcentral